AUCUUUUGCCGCAAGCAGGCUUAUGUUGCCAUCGGAAGACUAUGUGAAAAACGUGACAGCAAGUGUGUGAUUUGUGACUCCUGUGUGCGUCCCUGCACUCUGGUGAUGUGAUGAGUGUAACUGUGGAUCUUACCAGGGGCACUGUGUGGUCUCUGGAGGUCCUGGAGUCUCUGAUGCCUAUUAUUGUAAGGAGUGCACCAUCCAGGAGAAUAGAGAUGGCUGCCAAAGAUUGUCAAUUUGAGGAGCUCUAAGACAGAUCUCUUCUGUGAAUGCAAAAAAUAUGGCUACAAGAAGAGGUGA
RNAcentral lists this long non-coding RNA (300 nucleotides) under Homo sapiens (human). Its description in RNAcentral is "non-protein coding lnc-SPC25-3:1". Lineage: Eukaryota; Metazoa; Chordata; Mammalia; Primates; Hominidae. The record is from RNAcentral.